GGGGGAAAUACAAUAGAGAUUCAGUAUAUCUAUAUACAUAUUGAGGUAAAAUAUAAAUCAGUAUAUAUCUAUAUAAAUAUUUAGGUAAAACAAAAUAAAUGAGUAAACAAUUUGCUGAUUGCAAACAGACAGAUACAUUGAACAUAAAUAUUUCUGUUUAUUUGCAACAGUUAAGAGCUUACAGUCUGAGGGUGCUUAUUCCAUUUUGAGUAUGGCCUUCAAAAGCACAGCCACCCAAUCCUGUAAGUAAGUCAAACCUGUUUUGUUGCAACUAUUUGCAAGUCUACCUAUUGAACAGCGCUGUGGAAUAGGUUAGUGCUUUCUAAAUACUGUAAUACUAUACUUUACAUACACACACGGUUUAUACUGAGCAACAUAACACAGCAAGCUCUGCAUACACUUAGAUCACUAGAAAUGGAUAUAUAUAUAUAUAAACAUUCUCAUUCUUCAGUAAUAUUUACAUUGUGUGCAAUGGAUUUGCUUAUAUUCUAUCUGGUGCUCAAAGGGUUAACGUGCACAUUAACCAGUGUGUUAUAUCACCUUCUGUCAUUUUGCAAUAUGUCAUGAGAUUUAGGGUGGGGAGGGGGACGGGAGAGUUUUGAUUAGGACUGUGGGGAUGUUUCUGUACUGAAAGCGAAUCCCUGUGAAAUUCCCCAGGGUUCCAUAUUCGGAAUGCUAAUUAGUCACAGGCUGAGCUCUGCAUGCCUGGAGACUGCUGGGAAGAAUAUAUCCCAAAGGGGAGAAUGGAGCCCCCCUCAGACAAUACCCGGGAACGUUCUGAAUAAGGUAAUCCUGAAAUUAUUCAAACUAUUAAACCUAUUGCUAGGAAAUUAGUCACUUCUAAAUUUUGGCAAACAUUGCACUAAAGCAUAAUAUGUUAAACUCCUAACUUGCUAGCUCUUGUAUCCCUGACUGUGUCACCUGUAUACAAGCAGGAAUAUCACUUUAUAAUUAAUAUUAGUUUUUAUUAUUAUUAUCAAUUCUUUAUUUUUGCAUUGACAGACAUUGUAGGUAAGUGCAUUUUUGGCUUACGCAGAAGCCCAUCUUUUCAAGUAUGUUUUAGACAUGGUACAGAAAAAGACUGGGUUGUUAGUAUACAUAACAUACAUUUUAG
Pelobates cultripes (western spadefoot toad) is the source of this 1114-nucleotide non-coding RNA. The record is from the annotation of a GenBank genome assembly. Lineage: Eukaryota; Metazoa; Chordata; Amphibia; Anura; Pelobatidae.